GACGAACUGUCCUAACGUUGUUCGGAAUCACUGGGUGUAAAGGGCGCGUAGGUGGUCUGAUAAGGGUGUGGUGAAAGCCCGGGGCUCAACCCCGGGUCGGCCGUGCCGACUGUUGGACUAGAGUGCUGUAGGGGCAGGCGGAAUUCCGGGUGUAGCGGUGGAAUGCGUAGAGAUCCGGAGGAAGACCGGUGGCGAAGGCGGCCUGCUGGGCAGUUACUGACACUGAGGCGCGACAGCGUGGGGAGCAAACAGG
This 253-nucleotide ribosomal RNA is filed under the name uncultured Gemmatimonas sp. RNAcentral describes it as "partial 16S ribosomal RNA". It matches the Rfam family "Bacterial small subunit ribosomal RNA", at positions 524 to 776 of the family's 1533-position model. Lineage: Bacteria; Pseudomonadati; Gemmatimonadota; Gemmatimonadia; Gemmatimonadales; Gemmatimonadaceae. The record is from RNAcentral.